Molecule: long non-coding RNA, 1775 nt
Organism: Mustela lutreola (European mink)
Lineage: Eukaryota; Metazoa; Chordata; Mammalia; Carnivora; Mustelidae
Exons: 3
Source: RefSeq, a predicted model, not a curated record
AUGUGCUUUGGUGAGUGCUGUGAAGUGUGUAAACCUGGUGAUUCACAGACCUGUACCCCUGGGGAUAAAAAUAUAUGUUUAUAAAAAAUAAAAAAAUUAAAAUUUAAAAAAAAAGAUUAAAAAAAACCCCAAAAGCCUUAUUUUUUUCUUGAUUUAUUCCUAUUGGACAUAGUGCAUUAACUUUUUGCAUUGCUCUCCUACAGUUCACCCAACAUAGUUAUGUCACCAGAUUGCAGGGUUCUUGUGUCUCUUGGAGUCGAAGAAGGAACCUUGAGGACGGAAAAGGGUGAAGAGAAGCAGAAGUUUAUUAAGGGAAGCUGGGUCAAGAGAGGAACUUUAUUUCCUGCUUUACCCGCAGCACCUAGAGGACCGUGGGCAACUACUUAAUGCUUGUGGACCUGCGACUUCAUUCUGCAGUUACUUACUGAACACCUGCAAUGAAAACAUAAACCACUCUCACGUUUGAAGUGUUUUUGGGUAAGAAACUUCUUCUUCUUCUUUUUUUAAUGAAUGUACAAACGGCUUUAUUUUGUUUUAUUCGUGAUAACAAUUUAAUCUAUUUUUUCUUCAAGUAUUUUUAAAUACUUAGUUUUCAAAAUUUACAUAAAGAUCACAGAAUUGUUCAUUUAGAAUGUAAAAGAAGAAUGAACACAUGUGAGGUAACAAACUUCUAAUUCCUACCUCAUUGCCUAAGGAGGAGAAGAGUCUGUGGCUCCAAUUGUUCUGUACUUUUCUGUCAGUUUCUCUUUCUGAGUUCCCUUUCUCAUCUUCACUGUUAUGUUCCUGGUGCUCACAGGUGCUGCAGCCCGCGGGAUUUCUGUGGGAGGCGGUCCCCUCUGCAGGUGCUUGGCUGUAGAACCGUUGAUUGCCAUGGUUGCCAAGCCAUCUCUACCCACUUCUGGUUUUCAAAUAUUAGUUGAAACCUCUUGACUACUGUUCUUUCUCUUGCAGUUUUUGUCCUCGUGGCUUAAGGUCUUGUAAAAAUUAUUUAUUGCCAUUUUAGCAGAGUUUUGGAAAAGAGAAAAAAAAAAGAAACAAGUAUGGUCUACCACUUUAACCAAAAUUCUUCCAAUUCUUUUUUUAUUAUAAAGACCCAGGACUGGCAUGAGUAAAAAUAAACAGUUAACACAAUCAAAUUUUGUUUACUUUUACCUUUUGUCUGCUUGGCACAUUUCUGUAACUUCCAAAUUCUCACUAAAAGGUAAAAAACUAGACAAAAUAAACAAGCACAGAAGGGAACUAAGAAUAUGUGUGAGUAGAUAGGAAUUCUUCCCUUACUGCUCUUUAGGAUGGGAGUUUCCCCAGAUUUCCUCAACCCUAAGCCCUUAAAAGGAAACACGAGGAGAAGGCUGAAACCAGGGGCACACAGCCAUUGAACAGGAAAUCUUUUCCUUAUAUUCUUCUCCCACAAUCAUGAAAGCACAGAUGUGAUGGAUGUCCUGAUUCUAUUUUUACAGAACCUGUGUAAUUUAUUGAAAUGGAAACCUAGAGGCUUAUCUCUCUCUGGUAUUGCUCCUAAAGGAUUCAGUUCCAAAAGGCAGUCAGCAAAAAUGUUGAUCAAUCCCCCAAAACAGAUCUGCAGAGAGAAUAAAUACCCUAAGAAUGCAGAAAUAGAGAGAAAAGAAAAUAAUACAGUUUGCCCAAAAGCUGCCUCAACCAUUUUGUGAGCUGAUUAUAAAAAUAUUACUUUGAAUUUUAUGUCUUACCUGUGUUGCAUGAAUUAGUAGAAGGGAGAGUAAUCCAUUUUAUGACUGGUAUGUCUCCAAACUUUUCUC